RNAcentral lists this ribosomal RNA (372 nucleotides) under uncultured organism. Its description in RNAcentral is "bacterial SSU rRNA". It matches the Rfam family "Bacterial small subunit ribosomal RNA", at positions 526 to 896 of the family's 1533-position model. The record is from RNAcentral.
CAGAGGUCCCGAGCGUUGUUCGGAUUCAUUGGGCGUAAAGGGUGCGUAGGCGGUCUUCUAAGUUUGAUGUGAAAUUCCGGGGCUCAACCCUGGCAUGGCAUUGAAUACUGGAGGACUAGAGUACCGGAGAGGAAACUGGAAUUUACGGUGUAGCAGUGAAAUGCGUAGAGAUCGUAAGGAAGACCAGUGGCGAAGGCGAGUUUCUGGACGGUAACUGACGCUGAGGCACGAAGGCCAGGGGAGCAAACGGGAUUAGAUACCCCGGUAGUCCUGGCAGUAAACGGUGCAUGUUUGGUGUGGGAGGAAUCGACCCCUUCCGUGCCGGAGCUAACGCGUUAAACAUGCCGCCUGGGGAGUACGGUCGCAAGAUUA